This 311-nucleotide ribosomal RNA is filed under the name uncultured bacterium. RNAcentral's name for it is "partial 16S ribosomal RNA". It matches the Rfam family "Bacterial small subunit ribosomal RNA", at positions 502 to 808 of the family's 1533-position model. The record is from RNAcentral.
UAAGAGACAGCAGUAGCCGCGGGAAUACGUAGGUCCCGAGCGUUGUCCGGAUUUAUUGGGCGUAAAGCGAGCGCAGGCGGUUAGAUAAGUCUGAAGUUAAAGGCUGUGGCUUAACCAUAGUACGCUUUGGAAACUGUUUAACUUGAGUGCAAGAGGGGAGAGUGGAAUUCCAUGUGUAGCGGUGAAAUGCGUAGAUAUAUGGAGGAACACCGGUGGCGAAAGCACUCUGCUGGGCCGACACUGACACUGAGAGACGAAAGCUAGGGGAGCAAAUGGGAUUAGAUACCCCCGUAGUCCCUGUCUCUUAUACA